RNAcentral lists this ribosomal RNA (686 nucleotides) under Bacillus sp. 10-3-10F. RNAcentral's name for it is "bacterial SSU rRNA". It matches the Rfam family "Bacterial small subunit ribosomal RNA", at positions 69 to 738 of the family's 1533-position model. The record is from RNAcentral. Lineage: Bacteria; Bacillati; Bacillota; Bacilli; Caryophanales; Bacillaceae.
GGAUUAAGAGCUUGCUCUUAUGAAGUUAGCGGCGGACGGGUGAGUAACACGUGGGUAACCUGCCCAUAAGACUGGGAUAACUCCGGGAAACCGGGGCUAAUACCGGAUAACAUUUUGAACCGCAUGGUUCGAAAUUGAAAGGCGGCUUCGGCUGUCACUUAUGGAUGGACCCGCGUCGCAUUAGCUAGUUGGUGAGGUAACGGCUCACCAAGGCAACGAUGCGUAGCCGACCUGAGAGGGUGAUCGGCCACACUGGGACUGAGACACGGCCCAGACUCCUACGGGAGGCAGCAGUAGGGAAUCUUCCGCAAUGGACGAAAGUCUGACGGAGCAACGCCGCGUGAGUGAUGAAGGCUUUCGGGUCGUAAAACUCUGUUGUUAGGGAAGAACAAGUGCUAGUUGAAUAAGCUGGCACCUUGACGGUACCUAACCAGAAAGCCACGGCUAACUACGUGCCAGCAGCCGCGGUAAUACGUAGGUGGCAAGCGUUAUCCGGAAUUAUUGGGCGUAAAGCGCGCGCAGGUGGUUUCUUAAGUCUGAUGUGAAAGCCCACGGCUCAACCGUGGAGGGUCAUUGGAAACUGGGAGACUUGAGUGCAGAAGAGGAAAGUGGAAUUCCAUGUGUAGCGGUGAAAUGCGUAGAGAUAUGGAGGAACACCAGUGGCGAAGGCGACUUUCUGGUCUGUA